GAAAUGCGAUACGUAGUGUGAAUUGCAGAAUUCCGUGAAUCAUCAAAUCUUUGAACGCAUAUUGCACUCGAGGCUUCGGCCAAGAGUAUGUCUGCCUCAGCGUCGGGUUAAUACUCACUCAACAACACCUUGUGUGUUUAGAGUGGAUCUGGCUGUCCCAGUUAGUCCAGCUUGCUGGAUUACAACUGGCUGGGUCAGCUGAAGUGCAGAGGUUAGCACAAGGACCCGUUAAGGGCCGCAACUGGGUAGGCUUGCUCAUGCUUGCUAAAUCUUAGUUGUUGGCUUGGAUUCUGUGCUUGACCCACAAACAGGAACCUAACCCUAUUUUCUCGACCUGAGCUCAGGCAAGAACACCCGCUGAACUUAAGC
Molecule: unclassified non-coding RNA, 369 nt
Filed under: plant metagenome
Description: partial contains 5.8S ribosomal RNA, internal transcribed spacer 2, and large subunit ribosomal RNA
Rfam family: 5.8S ribosomal RNA (bases 1-105)
Source: RNAcentral